AACGAACGCUGGCGGCAUGCCUAACACAUGCAAGUCGAACGAGACCUUCGGGUCUAGUGGCGCACGGGUGCGUAACGCGUGGGAACCUGCCCUUAGGUUCGGAAUAAAUCCCCGAAAGGGGUGCUGAUACCGGAUAAUGUCUUCGGACCAAAGAUUUAUCGCCUUUGGAUGGGCCCGCGUUGGAUUAGCUAGUUGGUAGGGUAAAAGCCUACCAAGGCGACGAUCCAUAGCUGGUCUGAGAGGAUGAUCAGCCACACUGGGACUGAGACACGGCCCAGACUCCUACGGGAGGCAGCAGUGGGGAAUAUUGGACAAUGGGCGAAAGCCUGAUCCAGCAAUGCCGCGUGAGUGAUGAAGGCCUUAGGGUUGUAAAGCUCUUUUACCCGGGAUGAUAAUGACAGUACCGGGAGAAUAAGCUCCGGCUAACUCCGUG
This 433-nucleotide ribosomal RNA is filed under the name uncultured bacterium. Its description in RNAcentral is "partial 16S ribosomal RNA". It matches the Rfam family "Bacterial small subunit ribosomal RNA", at positions 29 to 507 of the family's 1533-position model. The record is from RNAcentral.